This 783-nucleotide ribosomal RNA is filed under the name uncultured bacterium. Its description in RNAcentral is "bacterial SSU rRNA". It matches the Rfam family "Bacterial small subunit ribosomal RNA", at positions 60 to 824 of the family's 1533-position model. The record is from RNAcentral.
AGUCGUGCGAGAAGGAGACUUCGGUCUCUGAGUAGAGCGGCGCACGGGUGAGUAACGCGUGGAUGAUCUACCCUUGAGUUCGGGAUAACGGUGCGAAAGCGCCGUUAAUACCGUAUAACAAUCCAUUUCAUCGUGGGUUCAAAGCAGGCCUCUUCAUGAAAGCUUGCGCUUGGGGAUGAGUCCGCGUCCCAUUAGCUUGUUGGCGGGGUAACGGCCCACCAAGGCAACGAUGGGUAGCUGGUCUGAGAGGAUGAUCAGCCACACUGGAACUGAAACACGGUCCAGACUCCUACGGGAGGCAGCAGUGGGGAAUAUUGCGCAAUGGGGGAAACCCUGACGCAGCGACGUCGUGUGAGGGAAGAAGGCCUUCGGGUCGUAAACCUCUGUCAGAAGGGAAGAACAUCCGGGAGUCGAACAGCCUCCCGGCCUGACGGUACCUUCAGAGGAAGCGCCGGCUAACUCCGUGCCAGCAGCCGCGGUAAUACGGAGGGCGCAAGCGUUAAUCGGAAUCACUGGGCGUAAAGCGUGCGUAGGCUGCUUGAUAAGUCAGACGUGAAAUCCCUCGGCUCAACCGGGGAACUGCGUUUGAUACUGUCGAGCUAGAGUCCUGGAGAGGGUGGCGGAAUUCCUGGUGUAGGAGUGAAAUCCGUAGAUAUCAGGAGGAACACCGGUGGCGAAGGCGGCCACCUGGACAGGUACUGACGCUGAGGUACGAAAGCGUGGGGAGCAAACAGGAUUAGAUACCCUGGUAGUCCACGCGGUAAACGAUGGAUGCUAGGUGUC